Molecule: ribosomal RNA, 301 nt
Filed under: uncultured bacterium
Lineage: Bacteria
Description: partial 16S ribosomal RNA
Rfam family: Bacterial small subunit ribosomal RNA
Source: RNAcentral
CAGUCGCCGCGGUAAUACGAAGGGUGCAAGCGUUACUCGGAAUUACUGGGCGUAAAGCGUGCGUAGGUGGUGGUUUAAGUCCGUUGUGAAAGCCCUGGGCUCAACCUGGGAAUUGCAGUGGAUACUGGGUCACUAGAGUGUGGUAGAGGAUAGUGGAAUUUCCGGUGUAGCAGUGAAAUGUGUAGAGAUCGGAAGGAACAUCUGUGGCGAAGGCGACUAUCUGGGCCAACACUGACACUGAGGCACGAAAGCGUGGGGAGCAAACAGGAUUAGAUACCCCGGUAGUCCCUGUCUCUUAUAC